RNAcentral lists this ribosomal RNA (253 nucleotides) under uncultured bacterium. Its description in RNAcentral is "partial 16S ribosomal RNA". It matches the Rfam family "Bacterial small subunit ribosomal RNA", at positions 524 to 776 of the family's 1533-position model. The record is from RNAcentral.
UACGUAGGGUGCGAGCGUUAAUCGGAAUUACUGGGCGUAAAGCGUGCGCAGGCGGCGCGUUAAGACAGGUGUGAAAGCCCCGAGCUUAACUUGGGAAUUGCGCUUGUGAUUGGCGUGCUGGAGUGUGGCAGAGGGAGGUGGAAUUCCACGUGUAGCAGUGAAAUGCGUAGAGAUGUGGAGGAACACCGAUGGCGAAGGCAGCCUCCUGGGCCAGCACUGACGCUCAUGCACGAAAGCGUGGGGAGCAAACAGG